RNAcentral lists this long non-coding RNA (4456 nucleotides) under Homo sapiens (human). Its description in RNAcentral is "HSALNT0129665". The stretch from base 3268 to 3396 matches the Rfam family "Small nucleolar RNA U13". The record is from RNAcentral. Lineage: Eukaryota; Metazoa; Chordata; Mammalia; Primates; Hominidae.
CAUGUGACUAUGGGUCAUGAGACCCUCAUUUCAGAAGGGGUUCUGCCCUGUACUCUGGAAGAAGGAAUACUGCCCAUAGAGGCCAAGAAGAAUCUGAACAGACAGGCCUUACUGGGUUUGGAUCAUACCCUGUUAUUCAAUCACAUCUCUACAUGGCUGUCAAUUAUGCCUAUCCAAUGAAGUCUUCAUAAAAGGCCCAAGAGGACUGGCUUUGGAGAACCUCCAGGUACCUGAAAACAUGGAGGUUCCUAGAGGGUGAUGAACCCAGGGAAGCCUGGAAGCUCUGCACCCCUUCUCACAUGCCUUUCCCUAUGCAUCUCUCCAUCUGUACCCUUUGUAAGAACCUCCAUAAUACGCCAGUACCUGUAAAUGUUUCCCUGAGUUCUGUGAACUGCUCUAGCAAAUUAACUGAACCCGAAGAGGGGGCUGCGGAAACCCCAACUUGAAGCUGAUUGGUCAGAAGUUUCUGGAGGCCUGAACUUGCAACUGGUGUCUGAAGAAAGUCAGGGUGGGGGCACACAGUCUUGUGGGACUGAGCCCUCAACAUGUGGGAUCUGAAGCCAUCUCCAGGAAGAUAGCACCAAAAGUGACUUGAAUUAAAAGACACUCAGCUGGUGUCUGUUUCUUAGGGUAUGGGGGAAAACCCACGCACAUUUGGUCGCAGAAGUCUUCUCUGUUGUGGUGGUGGUGGUGUGAGGAAAAAUGAUUUGAGUUUUUCAAACAAAUAUGUAAAGAGUUUGGAAGUCAUCACUCCCAUCCUUACAACAAGAAAAGAUGCUGUACAGACUAAAUUUCAGCAAUUCUUCUCAGAACCAUCAGAGAACUUAGGUCACAGAGCAAACUCCCACAUCAAAAGCUGGAGAGACAGGUGAAUCACAGCUUACUAGGAGCAGAAGCUGACAGAGAUGAAGCCUGUGGGAACAUUUAAACUGUAACUGACUAAGUGCUGGAGGUUGAGUGUGGACCAGCCUGCGAGUUAAAAACUAUUAUGGGCUCAAUCUCAGGCACACCGUCCCACCCCCCUGCCCUCCCGCCCCUGAUACUUUCAUGAGUUUUCCUCCGGAAGUCCCAUUAGGUUCUUACAAUGAAGAACACAGGAAAAUCUCCUCAUGUGUAGGGCAGGUGGAGAGAAGAAGUAACCACUUUGAAAUAAGCCCAGAAACUUCUGUUCUCCAUAACAAAAUGCUUCUCUCAAAAGAAACUACUUUGUUAAAGCCUUAUCUGAUCUUGUGGAAGGACAAUAAGCAAUUAAGCCACUUUUAGCUUCCUAUCUCAUAUAAAGGGAGGGAAAAAAGCUAAAACUCUUCCCAAAGUCACAAGCCAGGGACAAAGAGAGAGAAAAAGAAAGAAAGAGAGAAAGAAAAGAAAGGAGGAAAGAAAAGAGGAAAGAAAGAGAAAGAAAGAAAGAAAGAAAGAAAGAAAGAAAGAAAGAAAGGGAAAGAGACAAAGGAAAGAAAGAAAGAGAAAGAAAAGAAACAAAGAAAAAAGAGGAAAGGAAAAGGAAAGGAAAGGAAGAAAGAAAGAGGAAAGGAAAAGAAAGGAAGAAAGAGAGAGGAAAGGACGAAAGAAAGAGGAAAGGAAGAAAGAAAGAGGAAAGGAAAGGAAAGGAAGAAAGAAAGAGGAAAGGAAAGAAAGAAAGAAAGAAAGAAAGAAAGAAAGAAAGAAAGAAAGAAAAGGAAGGCUGAAUCAUGAUUAUACAAUGCUGCUUCUCCAUAAUACCUUACCACCACAUCAAUAGGGUUCCAGUAUAGUAACAGUAGAUUAUAACAGAGAUAUAAAAGACACAAGCUCUAUUAAAGAAGGAGACUCUAGGGAAACCCAAAGGCAACAGGAAAGACAAAAACAAGAACACUAGAGAAACUGAAGUCUCUGACACUUUAUAACUACAGCAAACAUUAAACACAGCCUAGCCAGAUAAACAUAAAGCCUCAAACUAAAGGCCCAUUUACUUCAGCUCCUAUUACCCAAUACGUUAUGUUCAGCAUUCAACAAAAAAAUUACAAAGCAGAAAAAAAGGCAAGAAAGCUUACAGUUUGAAUAGGCAAAGCAAGCAUUAGAACCAGACUCAGACAUGGCAGAGAUUUGGGUAUUCUCAGGCAGAUAUUUUAAAUAAUUAUGAUUAAUAUGCUAAGUGCUCUAAAGGAAAACGUGAACUACAUGCAAAAACAGAUGAGUAACUAAUUGAUCGCAACCAGUUACAGAUUUCUUUGUUCCUUCUCCAUUCCUACUGCUUUAUUUGACUACCAUUUAAAAAAUAAUAAUUAAAAAAACCAGACGGAUGAGAAGAAAAGAAAGGAAGCUGGGUGUGGUAGCUCACACCUGUAAUCUAAGCACUUUGGAGGUCGAGGCAGGAGGAUCACUUGAGGCCAGCAGUUUGAGAACUAGCCUGAGCAACAGAGUGAGACUGUCUCUACAAACAAUUAAAACAAAAAUUUUUCAAGUAAAAAGGAACGAAGAAAGAGAUGGAGAAAAGGAGAAAGGAAGGAAGAAGAGAGAAAGAAAGGGAGAAAGAAAAUAAAGAAAAUUCAAGGCCAGGUAAGGUGGCUCAUACCUGUAAUCACAACAUUUUGGGAGACUGAGGCAGGUGGAUGGCUUGAGCUCAGGAGUUUGAGAUCAGCCUGGGAAACAUGGUGAAACUCUGUCUCUACCAAAAAUUAAAAAAAAUUUGCCAGGCAUAGUGGUGCACGCCUGUAGUCCCAGCUACUUGGGGGAGGCUGAGGCAGGAGUAUUGCUUCAACUUGGGAGGUCAAGGCUAUAGUGAUCUGAGAUGGCACUACUGCGCUCCAGCCUGGGUGACAAAGUGAGACGUGUCUCAAUAAAUAAAUAAGUAAGAAAAUUCAAGCUGGGCACGGUGGCUCAUGCCUAUAAUCCCAGCACUUUUGGAGGCUGAGGUGGGUGGAUCACCUGAGGUCAGGAGUUCGCGAUCAGCCUGACCAACAUGCAGAAACCCCGACUCUACCAAAAAAUACAAAAUUAGCUGGGCGUGGUGGCACAUGCCUGUAAUCCCAACUACUCGGGAGGCUGAGGCAGAAGAAUCACUUGAACCCAAGAGGUGGAGGCGGCGGUAAGCCGAGAUAGCGCCAUUGUGCUCCAGCCUGGGGAAUAAGAGUGAAACUCCAUCUAAAAAAAAAAAAAAAAGAAAGAAAGAAAGAAAAAGAAAAUUCAAUUUGGGAAAAACAAACGAAAACAGAUGGGUAAAGUAGGCAGAAAGAUGAAAACCCUAAGAAAGAAUCAAAAGGAAAUGUUAGAAAUAAAAAAAACACUGUAAUCUUUUUGUAAUUCCUAAGCAUGAUGGUUGAUUCGGCUCUCACACUUGAUGAUUGGGCUUUCACUUGGAUCUGUGAGAUGUGCCUCCCUCAACCCUUCCUGCGAAGUCAGCACAUUACCUGACAGAAAUGAAAAGGGAAAAAUAAAUAUAAAACAUUGUAACAAACAUGAAGAAUGCUUUUGAUGGGUUCGUAGUUGGACUGUUCACAGCCGAAGAAUCAAUGAGGUUGAAGAUACUGAUACAACCUUCCAAAACUGCAAUGCAAAGAGUGAAAUAAAUAAAUAGAUAAAACCCCAAAUAUUCAAGAACUGUGGGACAAUUACAAAAGGUGUAACACGGGAAAUGGGAACACUAGAAGGAGAAGAGAAAGAAGCAAAAUAUGUACAGAGGCCUUUUUUUUUCUUUUUUGACACCCGGAUCUCACUCUGUUGCCCAAGCUGGAGUUCAGUGGCAUGAUCAUGGUUCACUGCAGCCUCCACCUCCCGGGCUUUAGCAAUCCUCCCACCUCAGUCCCCAAGUAGCUGGACAGGCGUGUGCCACCACACCCUGACAAUUUGUAUAUAUUUUGUAAAGAUGGGGUUUUGCCACAUUGUCUAGGCUAGUCUCAAACUCCUGGACUCAAGCAAUCUGCCUGCCUCAGCCUCCCAGAGUGCUAGGAUUACAGGCGUGAGCCACCACACCUAGCCUAAAAGAAAAAUCUAAAGUACUAAUGGCUGAGAAAUGUCUGGAAUUAAUGAUAGACACCAAGCCACAGAGAACACCAAGCAAGAUAAGUAGCAAAAAUCUGUACCUGCAGGAAACAAGACAACUAAAAAAGCCAAAGGAAAACAAUUCCUUACCUAUAGAGGAACAAGGAUAAAGAUUAUGUUAGACUUUCUUUCAGAAACCACAAAAGCAAGGCCGGGUAUGGUGGCACACGCCUGUAGUUCCAUCUACUCCGGACGUUGAGGCAGGAGGAUUGCUUGGAUCAUUUAAGUCCAAGAGUUCAAGGCUGUAGUGAGCUAUGACUGCAUCACUGCACUCCAGUCUGGGCAACAGAAUGAAACCUUGUCUCCAAAUUGAAGAAGAGAGAGAAGAGAAGAAGAGAAGAGGGGAGGAAAGGAGAGGAGAGGAGAAGAGAAGAGAAGGGAGGAGAAGAGUAGCGAAGAGAAACCACAUGCCUGGGUGCAGUGGCUCACGCCUGUAAUC